Molecule: ribosomal RNA, 223 nt
Filed under: Bacillus pumilus
Lineage: Bacteria; Bacillati; Bacillota; Bacilli; Caryophanales; Bacillaceae
Description: partial 16S ribosomal RNA
Rfam family: Bacterial small subunit ribosomal RNA
Source: RNAcentral
UUUUUCGGAGAGUUUGAUCCUGGCUCAGGACGAACGCUGGCGGCGUGCCUAAUACAUGCAAGUCGAGCGAACAGAAGGGAGCUUGCUCCCGGAUGUUAGCGGCGGACGGGUGAGUAACACGUGGGUAACCUGCCUGUAAGACUGGGAUAACUCCGGGAAACCGGAGCUAAUACCGGAUAGUUCCUUGAACCGCAUGGUUCAAGGAUGAAAGACGGUUUCGGCU